CUCAGAUUGAACGCUGGCGGCAUGCUUUACACAUGCAAGUCGAGCGGCAGCGCGGGGGGCAACCCUGGCGGCGAGCGGCGAACGGGUGAGUAAUGCAUCGGAACGUAUCCCGGAGUGGGGGGAUAACCUAUCGAAAGGUGGGCUAAUACCGCAUGAGCUCUGAGGAGGAAAGCGGGGGACCGAAAGGCCUCGCGCUGUGGGAGCGGCCGAUGUCCGAUUAGCUAGUUGGUGGGGUAAAGGCCUACCAAGGCGACGAUCGGUAGCUGGUCUGAGAGGAUGAUCAGCCACACUGGGACUGAGACACGGCCCAGACUCCUACGGGAGGCAGCAGUGGGGAAUUUUGGACAAUGGGGGAAACCCUGAUCCAGCCAUGCCGCGUGAAUGAAGAAGGCCUUCGGGUUGUAAAGCUCUUUCGGACGGAACGAAAUUGCUUGGACUAAUACUCUGAGUAGAUGACGGUACCGUAAGAAGAAGCACCGGCUAACUACGUG
Molecule: ribosomal RNA, 491 nt
Filed under: uncultured bacterium
Lineage: Bacteria
Description: bacterial SSU rRNA
Rfam family: Bacterial small subunit ribosomal RNA
Source: RNAcentral